RNAcentral lists this ribosomal RNA (497 nucleotides) under uncultured bacterium. Its description in RNAcentral is "partial 16S ribosomal RNA". It matches the Rfam family "Bacterial small subunit ribosomal RNA", at positions 28 to 507 of the family's 1533-position model. The record is from RNAcentral.
GAUGAACGCUGGCGGCGUGCCUAAUACAUGCAAGUCGAGCGAACAGACGAGGAGCUUGCUCCUCUGACGUUAGCGGCGGACGGGUGAGUAACACGUGGAUAACCUACCUAUAAGACUGGGAUAACUUCGGGAAACCGGAGCUAAUACCGGAUAAUAUAUUGAACCGCAUGGUUCAAUAGUGAAAUACGGUUUUGCUGUCACUUAUAGAUGGAUCCGCGCCGCAUUAGCUAGUUGGUAAGGUAACGGCUUACCAAGGCAACGAUGCGUAGCCGACCUGAGAGGGUGAUCGGCCACACUGGAACUGAGACACGGUCAAGACUCCUACGGGAGGCAGCAGUAGGGAAUCUUCCGCAAUGGGCGAAAGCCUGACGGAGCAACGCCGCGUGAGUGAUGAAGGUCUUCGGAUCGUAAAACUCUGUUAUUAGGGAAGAACAAAUGUGUAAGUAACUAUGCACGUCUUGACGGUACCUAACCAGAAAGCCACGGCUAACUACGUG